Molecule: long non-coding RNA, 194 nt
Organism: Bufo gargarizans (Asiatic toad)
Lineage: Eukaryota; Metazoa; Chordata; Amphibia; Anura; Bufonidae
Exons: 3
Source: RefSeq, a predicted model, not a curated record
GUUAAAGAUGAAGUAGAAGAGACAGAUUUAUGCGGCGAUCAGCAGGAUGAAAGAAGUCCCCUCGAGAGAUGUCCCCGUCUUCUGUAUUCCCAGGACUGUCCAGAGGAGAAGCUCCCAGAGAACCAUCAGGAUGAAAAUCUGAUGGAUAUUAAGGCUGAGGCUAAAGAUGAAGCAGAAGAGGAGACGGAUUUAUG